This is a long non-coding RNA of Glycine soja, 1599 nucleotides long. RefSeq lists it as uncharacterized. The transcript is spliced from 2 exons. The record is from RefSeq and is a predicted model, not a curated record. NCBI's taxonomy places the organism in Eukaryota, Viridiplantae, Streptophyta, Magnoliopsida, Fabales, Fabaceae.
CCCUGAGUUAAAGAAAAACAAUAUUUAUGCAGUUUCCUAGUUGAACUGCUCUUAUCUUGCAACAAUUAUAAGUGAUCACAGUUUAUUUGAAAUGCCUGCAGAAGUUGGUUAAAGGAAAAAAGGGGGGAAUGAAGGUGAAAAAAAAAAGCAAAGAAAAGAAACAGGUACAUAAGUGCUCCCUAUAAGUACCCCCCUAGCUUGUUAAAAUUCAAUUCUGGGUUGUACUCUUCCAUCAUGUUAUACCAUACCAAAAGAGAAAGGGAAAAGAAACACCACAAAGUGUAAAGGGAAAAGGACAAGAGGGGGAAAUAUCUUGUUCUUUAAAGAAACUCAAUGGUGGGGGAAUAGGAAUCUAAGGGGAUCCAAGCACUUGUAGACACUUUAGUUUCUCAAGAUAAAAAUGACUUGCCCUUUAUGAAAUGGAAAAAGAAGUUGAACCCUGAGACAUCCCUAGAGCCAUCCCAGCCAAUAGUAAAUAUGAGAAGACCUUCACCCCCUCCUCAUUCACUCAUAUAUAUGUAACACUAUUUCUCUUCAUCAAUAUGUUUCAAACUCCUUGGGAGUUUGAAAAAGUAAAGUAGGGAAUAGAAAAAGAGAGAGGGAGGGGGGGAGACAAGGUUGGUUCAGGUAGAGUUAUUUACAAAGCUAGCUUUGCUUCAUGCCAAAUUGCUAGCUGCUUGGUUGUUUCCCAAGUAAAAACAGUAGCCAAAGGAGCUGAGGAGUGUUUUUGUCUUUGUGGGGGCAUGGAAGGCCUAGCUUCUCUUACUUCAUGCUGCAUAUAUGCUUCUUAAUUGCUUCUACCUCCUCAUAGAUAUUACUUGCAGAUCACUUCUAGUCUCAGCAACACCAAUCAUCAAGAGCACUCAUUUGGUCAUAUCUCUAUAAAUCUUACCAUCUUCCAUGGUACAGAUAAAUUGGUUAAGUUUGCAUUUAAUUAGUUUUUGUAUAUUACUAUUAGCAUACUUGGCGUGCCUGGCUCCCUGUAUGCCAUUUGCAGAGCCCAUCAGGACAGUGAUGGCCUUAACGAAUGGCGUGCGAGGAGCCAUGCAUGUUGUGCGUUAUUAAUCAAGGGAAAACUAAAUUAACUAGUUUCUGUUUUCUACAAAACUUAGUUCAUUAUGUCUCUCUUUAAUUCAAUUCAGUUUUGAUUUCCUAUUGUCUUUGUUUCUUUCAAUCUUAUCAGUUGGGAGGGAUGGAGAGAAGAGGCUUGAAAGGUCUCCUACUCUCCUUUGGUAUCUGAUUAAUGAUUAAUCUCUUAAUUGCGUUUAAUAUUGUGUUAGGUUGUGAAUAGCCUACCUGGUUCAAAAUGUUAUUGACUUGGCUAGCUAGAUAGAAGAGAGCUUUUAUUUCCCUUUGGAGCCACACAGGUGUACACUAGAUCUUGAAAUUAAAAUUGGACAAAUGCCAUUAAUUGUUGAGCCUAUGCUAGUAAUGCUGGUAAGAUAAUUGUUGCAACAGCCUUGUGUAAUACACUUUGUUCAUUCAAGUUGUGUGUAUUUGUGAGAGGAGUGUAGCAAUGUGCUUUCAUUUUUCACUUUGUACAAUGCACAUGGUGCACACCAAUAUUGGUACGUAGUGCAAUUAAAGAAGAUUUGUAUA